This 17272-nucleotide long non-coding RNA is filed under the name Zea mays. Its description in RNAcentral is "long non-coding RNA (ZMAY_LNC001546)". Lineage: Eukaryota; Viridiplantae; Streptophyta; Magnoliopsida; Poales; Poaceae. The record is from RNAcentral.
GCUGAAGUUGACGACCUUGCGGGCGGGUGCGCAGGCGCCCUGCAGCUGCUGGUUGCAGCCGCCGGCGUUGGUCAUGAUGGCUUUCAUGGAGGUGAGCAGGCGGCCGUAGGUGACCCCCUGGGGCUCGCAUUCCACCGCCUUGAUGAAGCUGUGGGUCAUGGCCCCCACCGCCGCGCAGGCCUCCGGCGUCUGCAACAGAACAUGGCGCGCGUCGCGUGUCGAACCAAUCGCAAAGAGAUUAGAUCGAGCGAGCGUUACGUUCAUGGCGACCAUAGUAGGAGUAUAGGAUGGGUGUGCAGUGCAGUGCACUGACCAUGCUGAACUUGCUUUUGCCGUCGCUGUAGCCGCUGAUAAGCACCGCCUGGCCGCCGCUCGUGCCCUUGCAGACGCCCGACGGUGGACGGUGAUCCUCCCACUGCCAGUUCCCGGUCCUAGACAGACAGAGAGAGGAAUGGAGAUAUGUUUUAGAUGUACGGCCGGGCACGGGGAUUUCCAGCACCGGACGACGAGCUUUCAAAUAUAAUUACCUGGACAUGUUGCAGAGGAAGGGGAGGUCGAGGACGGAAUCGCUGUGGCACGCGUCGACGACGGCGUGGAGCUUGGCGCCGGGCACCAGCGGCCGGACGAUGGUCUCGUUGAUCUCGUCGUCCAGGAUGGGGCCCUUCUGGAACGAGUCCACCGGGCAGAUGGCCUCGUCGUACCCGUCCUGCUCGUCGCAGUCCGCGUCGGCGACCUGCGCGCCCAGCCCAGAGAAGUGGAACACCAGGGAGUCGCCGCUGCUGCACCCCUGCACCAGCCACUGCAUCGCCAUCCGGAUGUUGUCCUUGGUGGGCACCCGGAACGGGUCCUUCUGGUCGUCUGCGUGCACCGGUCCGGUCCGGUCCAUUCAGUUCCUUGCGACAAACAGAGAUGCGUACGUGGACGGUUCCAUUGCAUACCAGUGAGCAUGAUGAUGCCGUCGCUGGGGAAGGCGAAGCGCUGGCAGAGGAGCUGCCUCAUGCACUUGACGUCGUUGAUGGGGCCCCGCAGCUCGCCGCAGCCCCGGCGCGCGCCGCCGUACGUGAUGCCGAUCAGGACGGCGCGCUUCUUGCCGCGGCCGCCGCACGGCGGGAAGCCCGCGACGGAAGCCGGCCUCGUCAGCGCCGGCAGCGGGAGCCGCGAGGACAGCGACCGCCGGAUGCGAGUCACGCCGCAGCAUUGCGCGCACUGGAUGGCGCGCUCGCCGGCGCACACGGUCAGGCUCGCGCUGCAGUACUUGCACCGGAUCGUCGUCGCCGCCGGGGACCUUCCACCCAUGUUCAUGGCGAAGCUAGCCGGCCGGGCGCUCGGAGCUUUGCUUGCGCUGCUUGCUACGCGUUGCUGGCUAGCUAGCUCCUCGGUUAGCCUGCCCUCACACUCCUGCCUUACCUUCCCUUUAUAUAGCAACGGAAACUACUGUUACCAGAUGCUGGCGCCAAAGGUUUGUUCUUUUUUUUUCAAAGAUGCAGACAUGGUGGCCUUUGUAUAUCAAUCAUUCAUAUGAUUAUUAGGCGGAGUGGGAGGUAAUAAUCUCCGGAUGGGAGAACCAUUUGAGUGGAACUGAGCAUAUUUUGUCCCCCACGGAUCCUUUAAUUGCUAUUCUCGGCUUUGCUGUUGUUUUUCUCGAAUCUCGAAUAAUGUAUUUUCUCUAAUCUAUGAAGAAGAGAGAAAAAACUGUGUCCGCCGAGUUUGUUUGAGGUGCCAUUUGAUUCACGAAAUAUAACGUAAAUAUUAAUGAUAAUGAUUCACAUUUGAAUACCGACGGUAAUAAGUUUGAAUAAGUCGGUAUUCAUUUUUAGUGUGAUAUUCGAUUACAGUUGGACUUAAACAAAUAUAAUUUGUGUUAUUGGUUAUGUUACCAAUAUGUGAACCAAACGGCACCUGAGAUACUUUGGCGUAAUAUGUAAUUGUCACAGCCACCGAAAACAUAAAAUUUGAGUGAUAUGCUUUCACUCGAAAAUAUAGCUCUAGGGUCCAGCAACAUGCAUAAUUGCAUAUUCCUUUCUCUUAAAAAAAAUAUAUCGUCAUCCAUAUCUUGUAAAAAAGACUAUAAAAUGUCGUCAAAAGAUUCUACUAAACACUACGCGACUUGAUUCUUGACAAAAUAUUUUAUAAUAUUUUGGAGCCCAAAAGAAUCCCACCGCGUAUACAUUACAAUCAGAAAAAGGUGCAGAAACACUGAAAAACAUUGAACAAGGUUAUUAUUUAGUUGUUGUUUAGAGCUUGUUUGGUUGUGUCUAGAUCGAAUAGGAUGGAGAAGAAUUAAAUCUCUCCCUAAUCAAAAUUAAAUAAAAAGUGAUUUAAUCUCGCUCAACUCCUUCGAUCCGGUUUCAACCGAACAAGCCUAGUGGGAAAUGAAAUUUGAGCAUUUGCCCAACACACAUGCUAAAGGGGUGUUUGGUUACUUUAACAAAAACUUAGUUUGUGUCACAUCUCAACUACUAAGGGCAUGUACAACUAUGAGACUCCGUUUUGGUUUUCUAAGUAAAAGAGACAGCUAAGAGAUUGCAUGAUACAACCUUGAGACCCUGAAUCAUAACUACAGCUAAAAGACAACAUACAUGGAGAGUCAUGAAGAGACGAUUCUUCACGAAGAGCCUGUCUCUAAAAGGGAAAUAUGCCCUUAGGCCAUUUCUAAGUAUUUUGGUGAUUUAGUGUCCAACACAAGUGCUUAAGUGAUAAACUAUGUCAAAUGAUGGAUAAGGUGCAAAUCAAUACAAAGGUAUGAUUCUAGACUUAGUAUAUUGGUUUGUGUGUACUAACAUGUUUGUCUAAGUGUUAGAAUCAGAGAAAAAGCAAUUGAAAAAGAGUGGCUCAAAGCAGUCAAGAGACUGCUCAGUCUGGGUGCACCGGACAGUGUCCGAUGCGCCAGGCUGGCAUCCGUCAACUAGCUGCUCUCGGGACUUCGUCGGCGGCGUACAGCUAAAAUUCACCGGACUGUCCGGUGGUGCACCGGACUGUCCGGUGGUGCACCGGACUGUCCGGUGAACCAACAGUCAGCCGGGCCAACGGUCGGCCGCGGAAUCCGCGCGCGACGCGUGGCAAGCGCCAACGGUCAGAUGGGGCACCAGACUGUCCAGUGUGCACCGGAUAGUGUCUGGUGCGCCAACGGCUCGAAGACUGCAACGGUCGGCUUCGCCAAAUAAGGAAAGAGAUCCGCACCGGACAGUGUCCGGUGGUGCACCGGACUGUCCGGUGCGCCAGGCGACAGAAGGCAAGAAUUGCCUUCCUGGAAUGCACUCAACGGCUCCUAGCUGCCUUGGGGCUAUAAAAGGGAUCCCUAGGCGCAUGGAGGAGUACACCAAGCAUUCUCUAAGCAUUCCUAAGCACCAAGACUUUGAUUCCGCAUAUUUGAUUCUGUGUGAUAGCAAUUAGAGCUCUAUUUGAGUUGUGAACUCGCCGGGUUGUGUUGUGAGCUCUUGUUGCGACUUGUGUGCGUGCUGGUACUCUGAUUUCGUGUCUUGUGUGUGUUGCUCAUCCCUCCCUUACUCUGUGCUUCUUUGUGAUCAUCAAAGUGUAAGGGCGAGAGGCUCCAAGUUGUGGAGAUUCCUCGCAAGCGGGAUAUAGAAAAGCAAAGCAAAACACCGUGGUAUUCAAGUGGGUCUUUGGACCGCUUGAGAGGGGUUGAUUGCAACCCUCGUCCGUUGGGACGCCACAACGUGGAGUAGGCAAGCGUUGGACUUGGCCGAACUACGGGAUAAACCACUAUGUCAUCUCUGUGUUGAUCUCUUUGUGGUUAUCGUGUUGUGCAAGUUCUCCUCUCUAGCCACUUGGCUUAAUUGUGCUAACUCCUAAUCAAGUUUUGUGGAUUAAGUUUCAAGGUUUGGCAGGAUCACCUAUUCACCCCCCCUCUAGGUGCUCUCAAUUGGUAUCAGAGUCGUUCUCUUCAAGAAAGGGACUAAUCGCCCGAAGAGAUGGAUCCUAAGGGAAAGGGGAUUGUGAUCAAUGAUAAGGAGAAGGAGUCCUUCGUCAACGAGCCGAAAGAUGACAAGCCUACCGACUCGGGCUCGGGCCACAAACGAAAAGAUGGAAAGAAGAAGAAGACGAGGCGUAUCAAGGAGAUCGUCUACUACGACGACAGCGACGAGUCCUCUUCUUCCCAAAAGGACGACGACAACAACUACGAGAAAAAGAAGACGGUUAAUUCAAACUUCUCUUUUGAUUAUUCUCGUAUUCCUCAAAGUACCAAUGCUCAUUUACUCUCCAUUCCACUUGGUAAACCUCCUCAUUUUGAUGGAGAGGACUACGGAUUUUGGAGUCACAAAAUGCGUAGUCACUUGUUCUCUCUCCAUCCUAGUAUAUGGGAGAUAGUAGAGAGUGGAAUGAAAUUUGAUAGCUCGGAUAGUCCGUUGUUUAUCAAUGAACAGAUUCAUAAAAAUGCACAAGCUACUACUGUGUUGUUAGCCUCAUUGUGCAGGGACGAGUACCAUAAGGUGAAUGGCUUGGACAAUGCCAAGCAGAUCUGGGACACCCUCAAGAUCUCACAUGAGGGGAACGACGUCACCAUGCUCACCAAGAUGGAGUUGGUGGAAGGCGAACUCGGGAGAUUCACGAUGAUAAGAGGGGAGGAGCCAACCCAGACGUAUAACAGGCUCAAGACCCUCAUUAACAAGAUAAGGAGCUAUGGAAGCACGUGAUGGAUGGACCACGACGUCGUCCGCCUAAUGCUAAGGUUCUUUACCGUCCUUGAUCCACAUCUUGUGAACAAUAUUCAUGAGAAUCCUAGGUACACGAAGAUGACGCCCGAGGAGAUCCUUGGAAAGUUCGUAAGCGGGCGGAUGAUGAUCAAGGAGGCUAGAUACGUCGACGAUGCAUUAAAUGGCCCAAUCCAAGAGCCUCAAACUAUUGCUCUCAAGGCAACAAGGAGCAAGGAGGUGCUACCUAGCAAGGUGGCGCAAGUUGAGGCGGUCGGGCUUAAUGAUGAAGAGAUGGCCCUCAUCAUCAAGCAGUUCAAGACAGCACUAAAGGGUCGCAAGGAGCACCCCAACAAGAACAAGACGAAGGGGAAGCGCUCUUGCUUCAAAUGCGGUAAGAUUGGUCAUUUUAUCGCUAAUUGUCCCGAUAAUGAUAGUGACCAGGAAAAGAAGAGUGGAAAGUGGGAAAAGAAGAAGAACUACAAGAAGGCGAAGGGCGAGGCACAUCUUGGAAAGGAGUGGGAUUCGGAUUGCUCCUCGUCCGACUCCGACAAUGAAGGACUCGCCGCCACCACCUUCAACAAGUCAUCCCUCUUCCCCAACGAGCAUCACACUUGCCUCAUGGCAAGGGAAAAGAAGGUAAGCACUCGUAAUACUAGUACUUAUGCUUCUUCAAGUGAGGAUGAGUCUAGUGAUGAUGAUGAAAUAGACUAUUCAUGCUUAUUCAAGGGCUUAGAUAGAACUAAGAUUGAUAAGAUUAAUGAAUUGAUUGAUGCUUUGAAUGAUAAAAAUAGAUUAUUAGAAAAACAAGAGGACCUUUUAUAUGAAGAGCAUGAUAAAUUUGUUAGUGCACAAAAUUCUCUUGCUCUAGAAGUUAAAAGGAAUGAAAUGCUCUCUUGUGAACUAUCUACUUGUCAUGAAACCAUUUCUACUUUAAAGAGUGUGAAUGAUGAUUUAAAUGCUAAACUAGAAGUAGCAAGUAAAUCUAACUCUUGUAUAGAACAUGUUAUGAUUUGCAAUAGGUGCAAGGAUUUUAAUGUUGACGCUUGUAGUGAACACCUAGUUUGCAUUUCUAAAUUAAAUGAUGAAGUGGCUAGUCUUAAUGUCCAACUUAAGACUAGCAAGAGUGAAUUUGACAAGCUAAAAUUUGCAAGGGAUGCCUACACGAUUGGUAGACAUCCCUCAAUUAAGGAUGGUCUUGGCUUCAAGAGGGAAGUCAAAAACUUAACAAGCCAUAAGGCUUCCAUCUCCACCAAGGAGAAAGGGAAGGCCCCUAUGGCUAGUAGUGCUCAAAAGAACCAUGCCUUUAUGUAUCAUGAUAGGAGACAUUCUAGAAAUGUGUAUAGAAGUUAUGAUGCUUUUGAUUCUCAUGCUAUGGUUGCUUCUAGUUCUUCUAUUAUGCAUGAUAGAAAUUUAGCUAGGAGAAAUGCUAUUAAUCACAUGCCUAGAAGAAAUGUUGUUCAUAUGCCUAGGAAAACAAAUAGUGAACCUUCUACAAUUUCUCAUGCUUUAAAUGCUUCCUUUGCUAUUUGUAGAAAGGAUAAGAAGAUAAUUGCUAGGAAAUUAGGGGCCAAAUAUAAGGGAGACAAGACUUGCAUUUGGGUCCCUAAGACUAUUGUGACUAACCUUGUAGGACCCAACAUGAGUUGGGUACCUAAGACCCAAGCCUAAAUUUGCCUUGCAGGUUUAUGCAUCCGGGGGAUCAAGCUGGAUUAUCGACAGCGGAUGCACAAACCACAUGACGAAGGAGAAGAAGAUGUUUACCUCCUACGUCAAGAACAAGGAUUCCCAAGAUUCAAUAAUAUUCGGUGAUGGGAAUCAAGGCAAGGUGAAAGGGUUAGGGAAAAUUGCUAUUUCAUCCGAGCACUCUAUUUCUAAUGUGUUUUUAGUUGAGUCGCUUGGAUAUAAUCUGUUAUCUGUUAGUCAAUUAUGCAAUAUGGGAUAUAACUGUUUAUUCACAAAUGUAGAUGUGUCUGUCUUUAGAAGAAGUGAUGGUUCAUUAGCUUUUAAGGGUGUACUAGACGGCAAACUUUAUUUAGUUGAUUUUGCAAAAGAGGAGGUCGGUCUAGAUGCAUGCUUAAUUGCUAAGACUAGCAUGGGCUGGCUGUGGCAUCGCCGCUUAGCACAUGUGGGGAUGAAGAACCUUCACAAGCUUCUAAAGGGAGAACACGUAAUAGGUCUAACAAAUGUUACUUUCGAAAAAGAUAGACCUUGUGCAGCUUGUCAAGCAGGGAAACAGGUGGGAAGCACUCAUCAUGCCAAAAAUGUGAUGACAACAUCAAGACCCCUGGAGUUACUUCAUAUGGACCUCUUCGGACCCGUCGCCUAUCUAAGCAUAGGAGGAAGAUAAAUCUGAAACCCAAGGGACCCUCAAGCGCUUCCUAAGGAGAGCUCAAAACGAGUUUGAGCUCAAGGUGAAGAAGAUAAGGAGCGACAAUGGGUCCGAAUUCAAGAACCUUCAAGUGGAGGAAUACCUUGAGGAGGAAGGAAUCAAGCACGAGUUCUCCGCUCCCUACACACCAUAGAAAAAUGGUGUGGUAGAGAGGAAGAACAGGACGCUUAUAGACAUGGCGAGGACGAUGCUUGGAGAGUUCAAGACCCCCGAGCGCUUUUGGUCGGAAGCCGUGAACACGGCUUGCCACGCCAUCAACCGGGUCUACCUUCAUCGCCUCCUCAAGAAGACUUCGUAUGAGCUACUAACCGGUAACAAACCCAAUGUUUCGUAUUUCCGAGUUUUUGGGAGUAAAUGCUACAUUCUAGUGAAGAAGGGUAGGAAUUCCAAAAUUGCUCCCAAAGCUGUAGAAUGGUUUUUGUUAGGUUAUGACUCAAAUACAAAGGCGUAUAGGGUCUUCAACAAAUCAUCGGGUUUGGUUGAAGUCUCUAGCGACGUUGUAUUUGAUGAGACUAAUGGCUCUCCAAGAGAGCAAGUUGUUGAUCUUGAUGAUGUAGAUGAAGAAGACAUUCCAACGGCCGCAAUGCGCACCAUGGCGAUUGGAGAUGUAAGGCCACUGGAACCAAAGGAGCAAGAUCAACCUUCUUCCUCAACAAUGGUGCAUCCCCCAACUCAAGAAGAUGAACAAGUUCAUUAAUAGGAGGCGUGUGAUCAAGGGGGAGCACAAGAUGAUCAUUUAAUGGAGGAAGAAGCACAACCGGCACCUCCAACCCAAGUUCGAGCGAUGAUUCAAAGGGAUCAUCCCGUCGACCAGAUUUUGGGUGAUAUUAGCAAGGGAGUAACUACUCGGUCUCGAUUAGUUAAUUUUUGUGAGCAUUACUCCUUUGUCUCUUCUAUUGAGCCUUUCAGGGUAGAGGAGGCCUUGCUAGAUUCGGACUGGGUGUUGGCCAUGCAAGAGGAGCUCAAUAAUUUCAAGAGAAAUGAAGUUUGGACACUGGCGCCUCGUCCCAAGCAAAAUGUUGUGGGAACAAGGUGGGUGUUCCGCAACAAACAAGACGAGCACGGGGUGGUGACAAGGAACAAGGCUCGACUUGUGGCAAAAGGUUAUGCCCAAGUCGCAGGUUUGGACUUUGAGGAGACUUUUGCUCCUGUGGCUAGGCUAGAAUCUAUUCGUAUUUUGCUAGCAUAUGCCGCUCACCAUUCUUUCAGGUUGUUCCAAAUGGAUGUAAAGAGCGCUUUCCUCAACGGGCCAAUCAAGGAGGAGGUGUAUGUGGAGCAACCCCCUGGCUUCGAGGAUGAACGGUACCCCGACCACGUGUGUAAGCUCUCUAAGGCGCUCUAUGGACUUAAGCAAGCCCCAAGAGCAUGGUAUGAAUGCCUUAGAGACUUUUUAAUUGCUAAUGCUUUUGAGGUUGGGAAAGCCGAUCCAACUUUUUUCACUAAGACAUGUGAUGGUGAUCUUUUCGUGUGCCAAAUAUAUGUCGAUGACAUAAUAUUUGGUUCUACUAACCAAAAGUCUUGUGAAGAGUUUAGCAGGGUGAUGACUCAAAAGUUUGAGAUGUCGAUGAUGGGCGAGUUAAGCUAUUUCCUUGGGUUCCAAGUAAAGCAACUCAAGGAUGGGACCUUCAUCUCCCAAACGAAGUACACGCAAGACUUGAUCAAGCGGUUUGGGAUGAAGGACGCCAAGCCCACAAAGACUCCAAUGGGAACCGACGGACACACCGACCUCAACAAAGGAGGUAAGUCCGUGGAUCAAAAGGCAUACCGGUCAAUGAUAGGGUCUUUACUUUAUUUAUGUGCUAGUAGACCGGAUAUCAUGCUUAGUGUAUGCAUGUGUGCUAGAUUUCAAUCUGAUCUAAGGGAGUGUCACUUAGUGGCCGUGAAGCGAAUACUUAGAUAUUUAGUCGCUAUACCUUGCUUCGGGAUCUGGUAUCCAAAGGGGUCUACCUUUGACCUAAUUGUAUAUUCAGAUUCCGAUUAUGCUGGAUGUAAGGUCGAUAGGAAGAGUACAUCGGGGACGUGCCAAUUCUUAGGAAGGUCCCUGGUGUCGUGGAGCUCUAAGAAACAAACCUCCGUUGCCCUACCCACCGCUGAGGCCGAGUAUGUUGCCGCAGGACAGUGUUGCGCUCAACUACUUUGGAUGAGGCAAACCCUCAGGGACUUUGGCUACAAUCUGAGCAAAGUCCCACUCCUAUGUGAUAAUGAGAGUGCUAUCCGCAUGGCGGAGAAUCCUGUUGAACACAGCCGCACAAAGCACAUUGACAUCCGGCAUCACUUUUUGAGAGACCACCAACAAAAGGGAGAUAUCGAAGUGCUUCAUGUUAGCACCGAGAACCAGCUAGCCGAUAUCUUUACCAAGCCUCUAGAUGAGUCAACCUUUUGCAAGCUGCGUAGUGAGCUAAAUGUCUUAGAUUCGCGGAACCUAGAUUAAUUUAUAGCAUACAUGUGUUUUCUGCCUUUGAUCAUGUUCCAUAUGCAGUUUGUUGUUUAUUUUUGGUGUUCAAGUUGUACAAGCACUCCCCGGACCUCACAAGUCCAUUUGCGCGUGAUGCACAAAUUUAGGGGGAGAUGUGCUACAACUUGACCCUUUGAGACUAACCUUGUGCUUGAGUUUGCUUAAUUUAGUCUCAAAGGAGGUUUGAAAGGGAAAAGGUGGACUUGGACCAUGCAAGACUUCCACUGCACUCCGAUGAAAGAGUAACUUUUCCAAGUUCAUCUUUGUAUUCUUAUUGCCUUUGUACUCUUAUUUGAAGAUUUUGGUGAGGCAAUGAGGUUUAAGGGCCAAGAUUGAUCCCGUUUUGGUGCUUGAUGCCAAAGGGGGAGAAAAUAAGGCCAAAGCAAGAAAUGGAUCAGCUACCACUUGAGAAUUUUGAAAAUAGUAGAGUUAGAGUUUUUGUUUGCCAAAACACUCUUGUUUGUCUCUUGUUGUCCAAAGUUGGUCUCUUAUGGGGAGAAGGCUUAAUUAUGGGAAAAGGGGGAGUUUUUGAACUAUUUGAUAAAUUUCUCUUGAAAUACCUCUCUUUAUGUUUCAACAAGUGUGUUUGACUUAGAGAUAGGAAAUUGAGUUUGAUUUGCAAAAACAAACCAAGUGGUGGCAAAGAAUGAUCCAUAUAUGUCAAAUUUGAAUCAAAACAAUUUUGAGUUCUUAUUUCAAUUGAUUUUGCACUUGUUCUAGUUGCUUUAUGUUGUGUUGGCAUAAAUCACCAAAAAGGGGGAUAUUGAAAGGGAAAUGUGCCCUUGGGCCAUUUCUAAGUAUUUUGGUGAUUUAGUGUCCAACACAAGUGCUUAAGUGAUAAACUAUGUCAAAUGAUGGAUAAGGUGCAAAUCAAUACAAAGGUAUGAUUCUAGACUUAGCACAUUGGUUUGUGUGUACUAACAUGUUUGUCUAAGUGUUAGAAUCAGAGAAAAAGCAAUUGAAAAAGAGUGGCACAAAGCAGUCAAGAGACUGCUCAGUUUGGGUGCACCGGACAGUGUCCGGUGUGCCAGGCUGGCAUCCGUCAACUAGCUUCUCUCGGGACUUCGUCGGCGGCGUAUGGCUAAAAUUCACCGGACUGUCCGGUGGUGCACCGGACUGUCCGGUGAACCAACAGUCAGCCGGGCCAACGGUCGGCCGCGGAAUCCGCGCGCGACGCGUGGCAAGCGCCAACGGUCAGAUGGGGCACCGGACUGUCCGGUGUGCACCGGACAGUGUCCGGUGCGCCAACGGCUCGAAGACUGCAACGGUCGGCUUCGCCAAAUAAGGAAAGAGAUCCGCAUCGGACAGUGUUCGAUGGUGCACCGGACUGUCCGGUGCGCCAGGCGACAGAAGGCAAGAAUUGCCUUCCUGGAAUGCACUCAACGGCUCCUAGCUGCCUUGGGGCUAUAAAAGGGACCCCUAGGCGCAUGGAGGAGUACACCAAGCAUUCUCUAAGCAUUCCUAAGCACCAAGACUUUGAUUCCGCGCAUUUGAUUCUUUGUGAUAGCAAUUUGAGCUCUAUUUGAGUUGUGAACUCGCCGGGUUGUGUUGUGAGCUCUUGUUGCGACUUGUGUGCGUGCUGGUACUCUGAUUUCGUGUCUUGUGUGUGUUGCUCAUCCCUCCCUUACUCCGUGCUUCUUUGUGAUCAUCAAAGUGUAAGGGCGAGAGGCUCCAAGUUGUGGAGAUUCCUCGCAAGCGGGAUAUAUAAAAGCAAAGCAAAACACCAUGGUAUUCAAGUGGGUCUUUGGACCGCUUGAGAGGGGUUGAUUGCAACCCUCGUCCGUUGGGACGCCACAACGUGGAGUAGGCAAGCGUUGGACUUGGCUGAACCACGGGAUAAACCAUUGUGUCAUCUCUGUGUUGAUCUCUUUGUGGUUAUCGUGUUGUGCAAGUUCUCCUCUCUAGCCACUUGGCUUAAUUGUGCUAACUCCUAAUCAAGUUUUGUGGAUUAAGUUUCAAGGUUUGGCAGGAUCACCUAUUCACCCCCCCUCUAGGUGCUCUUAGUCUCUUAUAUUUUUUUCACUUAGCUCCUUAGAGACUCCUCAAGAGACCCUAUAUUAAAUGGGUUGUACAUACCCUUAAGACUCUAUUGUAGGCGCCCACGAUACCGUGCCCCUGCUCUCGUCCUCCCGUGAUGCCACCCUCCCCUGUACCUAGCGCAACUGCCUUUCCUCUCUCAGACGAGCAAAACCCUAGGGGCUUCCUAGUGCCGCCACCGUGAUGUACGACAGGCUCUACGAUGAGUUCGACAACAAGCGCUCAGAACUCAUCGACUACGACGUUGUCGGCUCCUUGACGUCAUCCACCAACACCAACGUCGUCGGCUCCUUGACGUCCUCCACUGCAUCCCGCUCGUUGUCCCCCAAAGCGCGUUGUAAUUCUCCCCGUAUGGAGUAAAGCAGACUUGACGUUGGUCCUGAAGCCAUUCCGUUGUCAGCAGCCUUCGUGGAGGAGUUGGUGGCGUCCUUUCGUCGAUGUUAUCUGGGCCGAGGCCAGGUUCGGGCAAGACAGAGGUUCCUCCUGAGGCCUUGGUCGAGCCUACCUUGGGUCAUGCAGUCAUGCAGAGAGAGGUUAAUAUAGUCGUUGGAGUGGCCUCCUACGGGAUUCGCGGGGAGUUGUUGCCAGGGCAGUUGGCCGAUGCCAAGCUCGGGCGAGGUGGAGUCUUCUCUCGAGGUUGAGGUCGUGGGCGAGGCGGAGUUCUCUCUCGAGGGUGAGGCGAUGCCCAGACGUACGCACGUCCCAUCUGGAGUUGUUUGAAUACAAUAGCCGAUGUGGGGGAGCAGUGGCCGUUAUUCCCGGACGUGCAUCAUCAUAGUUAGUGAAAGUGGAUGGGACCGUGAUCCCAUCACUCCCUGUUUAUCUGCAGCGUCAUGUGGGGUAGGUAUCGGAAUUGUCGCAUUAAAUGUGCAUGUCUCCACGGUUCCCGUGACCUUUGACCAAGGCUGGGCUCAGGGCUGUCCUCUUGUCCGAGACGAGCUCGGACGAGGCGAAAACCGUCAUUCCAUGAAGAGGGGCCCUCGGGCGAGAUGAGGAUUUUUCCCGAGCGCUCGCCCGAGGACAGGCUCGGGCGAGGCAGAGCUUUGAGCGACCGUCGAGCGAGGCCUCAGGCAAAUCGUGAUUCAUCCUUGCUUGACCGCGGGGAACGUGUCUUAUGAUUUUUCGGUAGUUAGGUGUUAAGCAUGUUUAGGGGCAUAAUAUGGGUACCCCUGAUUAUGAUACCCGACAAAUAAAGUGUUGCUUUCUCAUUGCCUCAAUCCAAGUCACUUUUGCAUUCUGACUAGCAAACGCAUUAGUCCAUAAGUUAUAUUGAUCAUCAAACACCAAAAUCAUUUAUUCAAAUAGGUCGGGUCCAUUUUUCUUACAAAUAACAACAGAAUGAGAAGGGGGGAAAGUGCCCUGAAUGGCUCAGAUUUAUCAACUACCGGCGUGAACGUUGCACUUUAUGAUGGAAGCACAAUGUGAUCUCCCUACCCCCUACACCCAAACAAACAAUAAAAUAGCAUUGUACAUUGCUCUUUCAGACAGACAUGCAACUUCAUAUAUGCAAUUUCUGCGACUGACCAUAUAGCUGGUUGCUUGCUAAGGCACAGGCCAUAAGACAGAUGGCUCACUUUACAAUACAAAUGGCAAAGAUGAUAUCAUUAUUAAAUUGUUGAGGUAAUAGUAAUUUAAAGAAUGAGAUAGUUGUACAAAUGCAACGAUUCAGAUGUUCAGUCCAAAUACAGUUAAGGUCCUAAAAAAUCUUGAAGUAAAACAAGGGUACCAGAUUCAUCAUAUUCAUCAUGUGCAUAGAUCAUGCUCUAAUAGAGACAUCUCAAUGUGCAAAUUGGCCUAUCAAUUACAAUGCACAUUUACAUCUAUAGGGAGCACCCAAUGAGAAGGUGUCAAAAUUAAAACCACUUUAAUUAACAUUAGUGGAUGUGUGAUUACUCAACUCAAGAAGACAGUAGAAGGGCCAUAUCGCUCCCAGCAGGCCAGCAUGCGUCGUCGCGCCGCCUCAUGCUAUCGACAACUAAAUCGGGCCAGCGGUCUAGUUGGGGAGGAAAAGGAGGGAGAGGGGGUGGGGUGGCAGCACGAGCGUUCAUUUCAUUAUACCAAGGCCGCUCCCUCACGUCGCUCCGACGGGCUACCCCGGGUCGUCACCUCGGUCAUGGGAAGGGGCGGAGCGCCCGUUAUGACUGUGUAUGGCUCACGCCAUACCUUGUUUUGAUCAUUGCCAUCGUCGUAUACCCGCAGCCAUAGCACCGUCGCACACACAGUCGCGAACUCAUGAUCUCCGAUCGACCACUUCGCCUGCUCCAGUGACCGGCUCCAGCUCUCGUGCUGAUUGUGGCGUGCGAUGCGUGGUUGUGGGACGUGGUCGUGCCCUUGUUGGCUUCUCGUGCCAAUUACGAUGUGCGGGUAGCAGUCAUACACCUGUGCACUUUGGGCGAUGCCCACGUGCCCUUCCUGCCUCUCCAGCACUAGCCACUAGGCACUAGCAAACUGUAGACCGCUAGAUGCCCAAGCCCCAAUCUCACUCAUCCGGCCAGCGUCAAGUCCAACCUAUCCCUCGGUCGAUCGGUAGCAGCCCCUCACUGUGCUGUACCAAGCUAUACCUUUUUUUUGUCCUCCGCCACUGGUCGUGGGUGUCGGGCGCCACAUCGAUGGGCACAGGACCUGAUAUGUACCCUGGAGCACUCGACGGCGAGAAAACCCUAGAGACCGACGGAGAGAUCCAAAACAGCAAGAAGAGGAACUCACGUGAGACUAGAGAUGGCUAAACGGGUCGCCCGGCCCGGGCCCGGUGAAGCCCGGACCGUUUUGGGUUCGGUUAGAAAACCGGGUUGAGCCGUCUACGUCCACGGGCUCGAUUUUCUAUCCGAGCCCAGCCCGUAGUGGGCCUAAACGGGCCAGGCCGGCCCGUUUAGCACGAAAAAACGGGCCGAAAAUCUGGCUGGUAAGCACAUUUUAGUGUAAAAAGCGAGUUUAACGGGUUUAGAGGUAAACGGGCCGUGCCGGGCUAACCCAUCGUGCCUAGUUUCCUGUCCGAACCUGGCCCGCUUAUUUGUGUCAGGCCGAUCCGGACCCGCAUAGAACCGGGCUGUGCCGGGUUCGGACCGGACCCAAACAUCGGACUUCGUGUCGGGCUCACGGCCUUAUACUUAUUGGCCAUCUAUACCUGAAACGCUCGGAAGCCUGGAUUCGUGAGUCCCUUUUAAUACACGGUAAUGCGGGCCAAACAAAAGUAUAAGCCUACGAUAAAAAAAACAUUACAAUUUACAAACAAAAGGGUUUAUGACACGUAAAAUUGAAUUAUGGGUCAGCUUUGUUACGUAAAGGCAAUCCGGUUGUUGUGGCAUGUUAGAAUCUAAUAGCGUGUUUGUUUGAGAAACAAGGUAGUAUAUCAUCUUCUCAUUUCUUAUUUUCUUGUUUGGUUUGUGUAAUAUAAUUAGUUGGUUCGUCACCAUUUUAUUCUUUAUAGAUUAAUAAUUAGUAAUAGUAUAUGAGCGAUGAGUUUACUCCACCAAAAUUAUGAACUGGACUUAUAAUACAAUACUUAUAUAUGUAGAAUGGAUUGAUUAUUCAAACCAAACAUCCCAUAAUAGAUUAGUUUAUCCCUCUUUCUUUCUAUAGAAAAUUGUUUAUACAGUACUAUAUUUUUGUCCAUAUAUUAUUUACCAUCGUAAAUUUCUUCUAUGUCACCCGGAUAUAAUUUAUUAUCCUUCCACGUCAUUGCUAGCAACAUAGAAGGGUAAACAAAAUCAUGUGUCCUAAUUCCUUUUAUACCACUCACGAUGGUAUGAAUUGGAUAAAAAAUUGCAUCCAAAUCAUAUAGAAGCAACUAGAAUAUUUGUGAAAACAAAUAAGAUAAAGUAAAAGUGUUCCUUCUUUAUAUUAUUCUAAAUGGAAUAAGUCUACAUAUCCCUCUAACCUUUAGGGCUGAUUUGGUGUGACAUUGAUUUAAGUGACACUAUUUUUUGUGUUUUUUCAAUUAUGCCUUCUAGUACUAGUGUCUAAAUUUUAUGUAUUUUUACACAAAAAUCAAUAAUUUGAUAAUAAAUUUGCCCUAUUUUUUAUAUAGAUUUAAAAACAGUAGCUUAAUUGCUAAAAAUUUAAAACUACGUAAAAAUAGAUUAAUGUUUUUCCCUGAUUCAUUUUUAUAUGAUGAGCCUAAAAAUUUUAUUAGAGCUAAAUAAUAUUAUUACUAAACUACUAAAUUUUUUAUUGAUUUUAUUAAGCAAGUCAAGUGGUCUAAUUACUAACUAAAUUAAUUUUAUAUUUGUUUUUUAGAAAUACAUAGAGAACAAUUUUUAGACGGACCUUCACCUAGCUACAAAUAUUUUUAGAGUUUUCUGAGAACUAUAAAUCUAAACAUAUAUAAAAUUAUAAGAAAUAUCUAUGUAAAUUAUGCGUCUAGAUUCAAAGUCCUUAGAAAAUUUUGGAAAUAUUUGUGUAUGUUAGUUUAGCUAGGAGAAAGUUCAUGUAAAAAUUGUAUAUCAUUUUAUUAUUGUUUGGUAAGUUUUAUAAAAAGCAAAUGUACAAUUAAUUUAGUUAGUAAUUAGAAAAAAAUAUCACUUAGCUUUCUUAAUAAAAUAAUAAUUAGUAGUUUAGCAAUAAUAUUAUUUAUCUGCAGCAAAAAAAUAGCCUUAGAAGGUAAUAAAUGAAUCAAAGACAAACAAAUACUUAACACUUUUUAUGUAUUUUUUAGUAAUUAAUCUGUUACUUCUAAAAUUUCUGAAAAAAUGGGGCUAAUAUAAUAUCUAAUUGCCGAUCUUUAUGUAAAAUUAUAUAAUUUUUGUGUACCAUAAGAUGAUAGAACUGAAGAAGACAAAACUGUUACCACUUGAAUUAGUGUUACGUUACUAAAACCGAUAACUAAAAUUGUCAGGAGAUUAUUUGACUAUUUUUAUAAAGCUGAGAGGUUAAACAACCGGUUUUAAAGGUAAGAGAGUGAAGCCAUCCUAUGAAGAUUUGGGGUUAGGUAGUAGAAGCUCCACUUGCAUCGCACGUGGAUAAAAUAAUUUCUAUGUAACUUUAUUGAUCACGUAAACUGCAUGCACACGUCUCAAAUUCCGCGUUUUCUCUCUGUCUCUCUCUCUAAUAAAAAGAGGACAUUGAACAUGCUUAGUUAUUACAUUGAGGGGUAAUAGUUCCUUCUUUCCUGAUAUAUCAUAUCAUAUCAUGGUCGAUAGAUAAUUUCUUAUUCUGAUACGACGGCAAUUCAUUACAAGCGGCCGGCCGGCAGGGGCAAACCCUGGUGUGGUGGUGUCUACAGGACGAACUGCUUGCGGUAAAUGUCAAACGUCUCCGAAGAGGACAGGUUAGGCUCCUGCAAAAAGAUCAAACCAAAGCAAACAAGUGAGAGUUUAAUUGGUGAGAGGAGCACAGCAGCUAGCCAAGGAUGUUGUUGUUGACAGAGACAGAGAGAUUCGACAUGGAUACCUGCACGCCGCUGAAGUUGGCGACGGUGCGGAUGGGUGCGCCGAUGGCCCCCUGCAGAUCGCAGCCCCCGCCGCGGUUCUUCAUGAUGGCCCUCAUGGAGCUGAGCAGGUGGCCGUAGGUGACCCCGCGCGGCUGGCACUCCAGCGUCCGGACGAAGCUGUGCGUCAUGGCCCCGACGACCGACGCGUGGGCGUCGGGCAUCUGCACGCCGCGCGUCGUCCAAGCAGCAGCAUAUGCAUGUUAGGUAUAUAGAUAGAUGCAAGGCAGCAGAGCUCGAUCAGCAGUAUGUAUGUAUGUAUCAUGUCCCUGACCAUGGCGAAGUUGCCUUUGCCCUCGCUGUAUCCGCUG